AGCUAACGCUGGCGGCGCGCCUAAUACAUGCAAGUCGAACGAGGAAGUACCUUCGGGUAUUGUACUAGUGGCGCACGGGAGAGGAACACGUAGAUAAUCUUCCUUCAAGUGGAGGAUAACCAGUCGAAAGACUGGCUAAUACUCCAUAAGACCAAGAGUCGAAUGACUCAAUGGUAAAAGGUUUUUCGCUUGAAGAUGAGUCUGCGUCCCAUUAGCUAGUUGGUGAGGUAAUGGCUCACCAAGGCUAUGAUGGGUAGCUGGUCUGAGAGGAUGAUCAGCCUCACUGGAACUGAAACACGGUCCAGACUCCUACGGGAGGCAGCAGUAGGGAAUAUUGCACAAUGGGGGAAACCCUGAUGCAGCGACGCCGCGUGAGUGAUGAAGGACUUCGGUUUGUAAAGCUCUGUUGUCUGGGAAUAAAAAAAUGAAUGUACCAGACGAGAAAGGGACGGCUAACUUCGUGCCAGCCGCCGCGGUAA
RNAcentral lists this ribosomal RNA (479 nucleotides) under uncultured bacterium. Its description in RNAcentral is "partial 16S ribosomal RNA". It matches the Rfam family "Bacterial small subunit ribosomal RNA", at positions 29 to 523 of the family's 1533-position model. The record is from RNAcentral.